GUAUAGCGUAAGCUAAUUGUAUUAAUUAAUACAAUAUCGAUUAUGUCGGAUAAAGUUCUAGAUAGAAUAAUGAUAAUGACAAUUUUCUAUCUAUAUGUCUUGGCCAAAUCUCGUGCCAGCAGCCGCGGUAAUACGAGGAAGACUAGUGUUAUUCAUCUUUAAUAGGUUUAAAGGGUACCUAGACGGUACUUUUAGCCCAAAACAGGGUACGGAUUUACUAGAGUUUUAUGUGAGAAGGGGAGUACCCAUGGAGUAGAGAUGAAAUUUUUUAAUACUAUGGGGUAACUGGUAGAGGCGAAAGCAACCUUCUAUGUAUAAACUGACGUUGAGGGACGAAGGCCCGGGUAGCAAACAGGAUUAGAUACCCUAGUAGUCCAGGCAGAAAAUUAUGAAUGUCAUAGACUAGACUGGAACGGUAAAAUUCAAACAUGAAGGGAAAUAGGAGAAUUUCCAUAAAAACCGUAAAAACCAUAUUUGCUCCAGACUAGCAAUGUUAAAACUAAAUAGGUGUAGUGGUUUAUUUAAUUUUAUGUGUUAGAAAUUUGUAUUUGUAAUUAUAUACUUUUUAAUCUAAUAUGCCCCUUUUUGUUUAGUCUAUAAAUAAAAGUGUAAGCAUUCCACCUCAAGAGUAAUGUGGCAACACAGGAACUGAAAUCAUUAGACCGUUUCUGAAACCAGUAGUGAAGUAUGUUAUUUAAUUCGAUAACCCUCGAAAAACCUUACCACAAUUUGAAUAUUAUUUACUUAAUACAAGCGUUGCACGGCUGUCUUUAGUUAAUGUCGUGAGAUUUUGGUUAGUUCCAUUAAAUUAACGUAAACCCUUGCUUUAUUUUUUUUAUAUAAAGUAGUUCGCCACUAUAUUGGAUAUGAUAAAAGGGAUUAAGACAAGUCAUCAUGGCCUUAAUAUUGUGGGCUAUAGACGUGCCACAU
Molecule: ribosomal RNA, 930 nt
Filed under: Candelariella aurella
Lineage: Eukaryota; Fungi; Ascomycota; Candelariomycetes; Candelariales; Candelariaceae
Description: SSU rRNA
Rfam family: Bacterial small subunit ribosomal RNA
Source: RNAcentral